CUAGUGUCCUCGCGAAGGGUGCGGAGCACCCUAACUCACACUCGCACACGCUCGCGCGCGCGCGCGUGGCGUGGGCGAUGAGGCGCAAUGUGGCGCUUUGAUGGCGCACUUUGCACUUCGCACGCUCGCAUCGCCGCGAGCCGCUUGAGAGCCGCCUUUGUAUUUUUGACCGCGCGCGCGUGGUGAAGCACAAGGGUUGCAAGGACCAAGUGGUAGGUGAUGCGGUGCAUGACGUGGCAGUCAUGCGCAUGCGCGCGCGGGUACACGAGGCGCGCGGUUCGGAGCAUGGUGCAUGGGUCUUACUGUGCCGUGUGCGGCGCACCAGAGUGAGCCAAUACGGCGUGACUGUGUGGCGCGCACGUAUAGACUCACAAGGUGACGUGGCGCACGCCGCACCGCCGCAUGGACGGACUUGAGCUGCACCGCCGCACGCCGCAUGGACGGACUUGAGCCGCACCGCCGCACCGCGCACGGCAGUGAGCCAAGAGGCCGCACGCCGCACGACAGUGAGCCAAGAGGCCGCACGCCGCAUGGCGCACCGCGCAUGGGCGCGCGCGCGCGCAGAAGCUUCCAGCAUUGAAUGACAGGGCAGUUUCAGUCCAGCUUCGUAACUGACGAG
RNAcentral lists this long non-coding RNA (619 nucleotides) under Helianthus annuus (common sunflower). RNAcentral's name for it is "hypothetical non coding rna". The record is from RNAcentral. Lineage: Eukaryota; Viridiplantae; Streptophyta; Magnoliopsida; Asterales; Asteraceae.